Molecule: long non-coding RNA, 441 nt
Filed under: Vigna radiata
Lineage: Eukaryota; Viridiplantae; Streptophyta; Magnoliopsida; Fabales; Fabaceae
Description: long non-coding RNA (VRAD_LNC016289)
Source: RNAcentral
CCUAUCAAGUUGAGGAAAUGUCACAUGAUAUUCAAAAUAUUGAAGUCGAACGUGUAUCAGGAUUGCAUGACCCUAACGGUGAUUUUGAAGAAGAAGAAGAAAAAGAAGAAGAAGAAAACGACAAGAAAAGUACAUAAUAAGGAUUCCUACUUUAGAUGACCAGACUACACCGAAUGUUGGGCCCUCACAUCUUGUGGUACAACCAACACAAGAUCCUAGUAGUCUUCCCGCACCUGCAUAUCUUGGAACACCUAUAGUUUCUCCUUCUAUACCCUCCUCAUCCAUCUGAUGAUCGUCCCCCACGAUCAAAUGAUCAUCCCCCACCAUCUGAUGAUCAUUCCCCCGAUCUGGUCAUCGUCCCCCACCAUUUGAUGAUUUGCUAUCUGAUGAUCAUCAUUCAACUGGUGAUGAUGGUAAUGACCCCGAUCCUACUGAUCGACC